This 425-nucleotide ribosomal RNA is filed under the name uncultured bacterium. Its description in RNAcentral is "partial 16S ribosomal RNA". It matches the Rfam family "Bacterial small subunit ribosomal RNA", at positions 354 to 796 of the family's 1533-position model. The record is from RNAcentral.
GUGGGGAAUCUUGCGCAAUGGGCGAAAGCCUGACGCAGCCAUGCCGCGUGAAUGAUGAAGGUCUUAGGAUUGUAAAAUUCUUUCACCGGGGACGAUAAUGACGGUACCCGGAGAAGAAGCUCCGGCUAACUUCGUGCCAGCAGCCGCGGUAAUACGAAGGGGGCUAGCGUUGCUCGGAAUUACUGGGCGUAAAGGGCGCGUAGGCGGACAGCUUAGUCAGAGGUGAAAGCCCAGGGCUCAACCUUGGAAUUGCCUUUGAUACUGGCUGUCUUGAGUUUGAGAGAGGUGAGUGGAACUCCGAGUGUAGAGGUGAAAUUCGUAGAUAUUCGGAAGAACACCAGUGGCGAAGGCGACUCACUGGCCCAAUACUGACGCUGAGGCGCGAAAGCGUGGGGAGCAAACAGGAUUAGAAACCCCUGUAGUCC